RNAcentral lists this unclassified non-coding RNA (240 nucleotides) under soil metagenome. RNAcentral's name for it is "partial contains 5.8S ribosomal RNA, internal transcribed spacer 2, and large subunit ribosomal RNA". The record is from RNAcentral.
AACACUGUUAACCUGCGGUACCUGCGGAGGGAUCAUUACCGAGUGCGGGUCCUUUGGGCCCAACCUCCCAUCCGUGUCUAUUGUACCCUGUUGCUUCGGCGGGCCCGCCGCUUGUCGGCCGCCGGGGGGGGCGCCUCUGCCCCCCGGGCCCGUGCCCGCCGGAGACCCCAACACGAACACUGUCUGAAAGCGUGCAGUCUGAGUUGAUUGAAUGCAAUCAGUUAAAACUUUUAACAACGG